GAUGAAGAACGUAGCGAAAUGCGAUACUUGGUGUGAAUUGCAGAAUCCCGUGAACCAUCGAGUCUUUGAACGCAAGUUGCGCCUCAAGCCAUUAGGUUGAGGGCACGUCUGCCUGGGCGUCACAUAUCGUUGCCUGAUGCCAGUUUCCUCGUGAUGGGUGACUGUGCAGGGCGAAUGAUGCUUCCCGUGAGCAUUGUUGCCUCAUGGUUGGUUGAAAAUUGAGUCCUUGGUAGGGAGCGCCGUGAUAGAUGGUGGUUGAGUGACGAACGAGACCCAAUCAUGUGAGACCCCUACCGAAUUUGGCCUUCAUGACCCACAUGCGUCUUUGGAACGCUCAUGACGAGACCUCAGGUCAGGCGGGGCUACCCGCUGAGUUUAAGCAUAUCAAUAAGCGGAGGA
This 399-nucleotide unclassified non-coding RNA is filed under the name soil metagenome. RNAcentral describes it as "partial contains 5.8S ribosomal RNA, internal transcribed spacer 2, and large subunit ribosomal RNA". The stretch from base 1 to 122 matches the Rfam family "5.8S ribosomal RNA", at positions 35 to 154 of the family's 154-position model. The record is from RNAcentral.